CCCAGUCUUCGAUUUUCACGGUCCAAGAAGAGUGCAUCGACACGGCAGUUGCGGCGGCCGUGCUCUACCAGACCGGUCCAACCAUAUCUCUCUGUGUGGCCUCCAGAGACCUCACUAAAUAAUCCAUCGGUAGUAAGCGACGGGCGGUGUGUACAAAGGGCAGGGACGUAAUCAGCGCUAGCUAAUGACUAGCACUUACUAGAAAUUCCAGGUUCAUGGGGACCAUUGCAGUCCCCAAUCCCC
Long non-coding RNA from Anopheles coluzzii, 243 nucleotides. RefSeq lists it as uncharacterized. The transcript is spliced from 2 exons. The record is from RefSeq and is a predicted model, not a curated record. NCBI's taxonomy places the organism in Eukaryota, Metazoa, Arthropoda, Insecta, Diptera, Culicidae.